This 19-nucleotide non-coding RNA is filed under the name Arabidopsis thaliana (thale cress). Lineage: Eukaryota; Viridiplantae; Streptophyta; Magnoliopsida; Brassicales; Brassicaceae. The record is from RNAcentral.
CCGAAUUCAGUAAAUCUUG